RNAcentral lists this ribosomal RNA (443 nucleotides) under uncultured bacterium. RNAcentral's name for it is "partial 16S ribosomal RNA". It matches the Rfam family "Bacterial small subunit ribosomal RNA", at positions 338 to 795 of the family's 1533-position model. The record is from RNAcentral.
CCUACGGGUGGCAGCAGUGGGGAAUAUUGGGCAAUGGGCGCAAGCCUGACCCAGCAACGCCGCGUGAAGGAAGAAGGCUUUCGGGUUGUAAAGUUCUUUUCUAAGGGAAGAAGAAAGUGACGGUACCUUAGUAAUAAGCCUCGGCUAACUACGUGCCAGCAGCCGCGGUAAUACGUAGGAGGCGAGCGUUAUCCGGAAUGACUGGGCGUAAAGGGUGCGUAGGUGGUUUGACAAGUUGGUAGCGUAACUCCGAGGCUCAACCUCGGCACUACUACCAAAACUGUCGGACUUGAGUGCAGGAGGGGCAAUUGGAAUGCCUAGUGUAGCGGUGGAAUGCGCAGAUAUUAGGAGGAACACCGGUGGCGAAGGCGAAUUGCUGGACUGUAACUGACACUGAGGCACGAAAGCGUGGGGAGCAAACAGGAUUAGAUACCCGAGUAGUC